This 449-nucleotide ribosomal RNA is filed under the name uncultured bacterium. RNAcentral describes it as "partial 16S ribosomal RNA". It matches the Rfam family "Bacterial small subunit ribosomal RNA", at positions 29 to 523 of the family's 1533-position model. The record is from RNAcentral.
AACGAACGCUGGCGGCAUGCCUAACACAUGCAAGUCGAACGAGAUCUUCGGGUCUAGUGGCGCACGGGUGCGCAACGCGUGGGAAUCUGCCCUUUGGUUCGGAAUAACAGUUGGAAACGACUGCUAAUACCGGAUGGUGACGAAAGUCCAAAGAUUUAUCGCCAGAGGAUGAGCCCGCGUAGGAUUAGCUAGUUGGUGUGGUAAAGGCGCACCAAGGCGACGAUCCUUAGCUGGUCUGAGAGGAUGAUCAGCCACACUGGGACUGAGACACGGCCCAGACUCCUACGGGAGGCAGCAGUGGGGAAUAUUGGACAAUGGGCGAAAGCUUGAUCCAGCAAUGCCGCGUGAGUGAUGAAGGCCUUAGGGUUGUAAAGCUCUUUUACCCGGGAUGAUAAUGACAGUACCGGGAGAAUAAGCUCCGGCUAACUCCGUGCCAGCAGCCGCCGUAA